AGUGAACGCUGGCGGUAUGCCUAACACAUGCAAGUCGAACGGCAGCACAGUAAGAGCUUGCUCUUACGGGUGGCGAGUGGCGGACGGGUGAGGAAUACAUCGGAAUCUACUUUUUCGUGGGGGAUAACGUAGGGAAACUUACGCUAAUACCUCAUACGACCUACGGGUGAAAGCAGGGGAUCUUCGGACCUUGCUCGAUUGAAUGAGCCGAUGUCGGAUUAGCUAGUUGGCGGGGUAAAGGCCCACCAAGGCGACGAUCCGUAGCUGGUCUGAGAGGAUGAUCAGCCACACUGGAACUGAGACACGGUCCAGACUCCUACGGGAGGCAGCAGUGGGGAAUAUUGGACAAUGGGCGCAAGCCUGAUCCAGCCAUACCGCGUGGGUGAAGAAGGCCUUCGGGUUGUAAAGCCCUUUUGUUGGGAAAGAAAAGCAGCAGGUUAAUACCCCGCUGUUCUGACGGUACCCAAAGAAUAAGCACCGGCUAACUUCGUG
This 492-nucleotide ribosomal RNA is filed under the name uncultured bacterium. RNAcentral's name for it is "partial 16S ribosomal RNA". It matches the Rfam family "Bacterial small subunit ribosomal RNA", at positions 29 to 507 of the family's 1533-position model. The record is from RNAcentral.